UACAGAGGGUGCAAGCGUUGUUCGGAAUUACUGGGCGUAAAGGGCGCGCAGGCGGCUGCUCAAGUCAGGCGUGAAAGGCCUGGGCUCAACCCGGGAAUUGCGCUUGAGACUGGGCUGGCUUGAGUGCGGGAGAGGAUGGUGGAAUUCCUGGUGUAGCGGUGAAAUGCGUAGAUAUCAGGAGGAACACCUGCGGUGUAGACGGCUUACUGGACCAUAACUGACGCUGAGGCACGAAAGCGUGGGUAGCAAACAGG
This 254-nucleotide ribosomal RNA is filed under the name uncultured bacterium. RNAcentral describes it as "partial 16S ribosomal RNA". It matches the Rfam family "Bacterial small subunit ribosomal RNA", at positions 524 to 776 of the family's 1533-position model. The record is from RNAcentral.